Molecule: ribosomal RNA, 699 nt
Filed under: uncultured bacterium
Lineage: Bacteria
Description: bacterial SSU rRNA
Rfam family: Bacterial small subunit ribosomal RNA
Source: RNAcentral
GAGUAAAGCGGCGGACGGGUGAGUAACGCGUAGGAAUCUACCUGGUAGUGGGGGACAACUUGGGGAAACUCAAGCUAAUACCGCAUACGCCCUAAGGGGGAAAGCGGGGGACCUUCGGGCCUCGCGCUAUCGGAUGAGCCUGCGUAGGAUUAGCUAGUUGGUGGGGUAAAGGCCCACCAAGGCGACGAUCCUUAGCUGGUCUGAGAGGAUGAUCAGCCACACUGGAACUGAGACACGGUCCAGACUCCUACGGGAGGCAGCAGUGGGGAAUAUUGCGCAAUGGGCGAAAGCCUGACGCAGCCAUGCCGCGUGUGUGAAGAAGGCCUUAGGGUUGUAAAGCACUUUCAAUUGGGAAGAAAAGUUUGUCGUUAAUAGCGCCAAGCUCUGACAUUACCUUUAGAAGAAGCACCGGCUAACUCCGUGCCAGCAGCCGCGGUAAUACGGAGGGUGCGAGCGUUAAUCGGAAUUACUGGGCGUAAAGCGCGCGUAGGCGGUUUGUUAAGUCAGCUGUGAAAGCCCCGGGCUCAACCUGGGAACUGCAGUUGAUACUGGCCGACUAGAGUACGAGAGAGGGAGGUAGAAUUCCAUGUGUAGCGGUGAAAUGCGUAGAUAUAUGGAGGAAUACCAGUGGCGAAAGCGGCCUCCUGGCUCGAUACUGACGCUGAGUGCGAAAGCGUGGGGAUCAAACAGGAUUAGAUA